Molecule: small nuclear RNA, 157 nt
Organism: Phodopus roborovskii (desert hamster)
Lineage: Eukaryota; Metazoa; Chordata; Mammalia; Rodentia; Cricetidae
Product: U1 spliceosomal RNA
Exons: 1
Source: RefSeq, a predicted model, not a curated record
AUACUUACCUGGCAAGGGAGGUACCAUGAUCAUGGGGGUGGUUUUUUCCAAGGCGGGGCUUAUCCCUUGCACUCCAGAUCUGCUGAUUCCUGUGAUUUCUCCAAAUGCUGGAAACUCAUCUGCAUAAUUGGGGGGACUGUGUUCACCCCCUCCCCUG